UGGGGAAUUUGGGACAAUGGGGGAAACCCUGAUCCAGCCAUCCCGCGUGUGCUAUGAAGGCCUUCGGGUUGUAAAGCACUUUUGGCAGGAAAGAAUCGUCAUGGGUUAAUACCCCGUGAAACUGACGGUACCUGCAGAAUAAGCACCGGCUAACUACGUGCCAGCAGCCGCGGUAAUACGUAGGGUGCAAGCGUUAAUCGGAAUUACUGGGCGUAAAGCGUGCGCAGGCGGUUCGGAAAGAAAGAUGUGAAAUCCCAGAGCUCAACUUUGGAACUGCAUUUUUAACUACCGGGCUAGGGUGUGUCAGAGGGGGGUGGAAUUCCGCUUGUAGCAGUGAAAUGCGUAGAUAUGCGGAGGAACACCGAUGGCGAAGGCAGCCUCCUGGGAUAACACUGACGCUCAUGCACGAAAGCGUGGGGAGCAAACAGG
Molecule: ribosomal RNA, 429 nt
Filed under: Acidobacteriota bacterium
Lineage: Bacteria; Pseudomonadati; Acidobacteriota
Description: Acidobacteria bacterium partial 16S ribosomal RNA
Rfam family: Bacterial small subunit ribosomal RNA
Source: RNAcentral